Molecule: ribosomal RNA, 250 nt
Filed under: uncultured bacterium
Lineage: Bacteria
Description: partial 16S ribosomal RNA
Rfam family: Bacterial small subunit ribosomal RNA
Source: RNAcentral
UACGGAGGAUCCGAGCGUUAUCCGGAUUUAUUGGGUUUAAAGGGUGCGUAGGCGGAAGAUUAAGUCAGUGGUGAAAGUUUGCAGCUCAACUGUAAAAUUGCCAUUGAAACUGAUUUUCUUGAGUGUAAAUGAGGUAGGCGGAAUGUGUUGUGUAGCGGUGAAAUGCUUAGAUAUAACACAGAACACCAAUUGCGAAGGCAGCUUACUAGAAUACAACUGACGCUGAGGCACGAAAGCGUGGGGAUCAAAC